UACGAAGGGGGCUAGCGUUGUUCGGAAUUACUGGGCGUAAAGCGUGCGCAGGCGGUUUUGUAAGCCAGAUGUGAAAUCCCCGGGCUCAACCUGGGAAUGGCAUUUGGGACUGCAAGGCUUGAGUGCGGCAGAGGAGACUGGAAUUCCUGGUGUAGCAGUGAAAUGCGUAGAUAUCAGGAGGAAUACCGAUGGCGAAGGCAGGUCUCUGGGCUGACACUGACGCUCAUGCACGAAAGCGUGGGGAGCAAACAGG
RNAcentral lists this ribosomal RNA (253 nucleotides) under uncultured bacterium. RNAcentral's name for it is "partial 16S ribosomal RNA". It matches the Rfam family "Bacterial small subunit ribosomal RNA", at positions 524 to 776 of the family's 1533-position model. The record is from RNAcentral.